GUCUCUUCGGGGAUGAUUAAACCGGCGCACGGGUGAGUAACACGUGAGUGACCUGCCUUUUAGACUGGAACAACUUACCGAAAGGUGAGCUAAUGCCGGAUGAGUUAUAUAAGUGCAUGUUUAUAUAGGAAAAGUUGGGGAGACCUGACGCUGAAAGAUGGACUCGCGUCCCAUUAGCUAGUUGGUAGGGUAAUGGCCUACCAAGGCGACGAUGGGUAGCCGGCCUGAGAGGGUGGCCGGCCACACUGGGACUGAAACACGGCCCAGACUCCUACGGGAGGCAGCAGUGGGGAAUUUUGCGCAAUGCUCGUAAGAGUGACGCAGCGACGCCGCGUGAAUGACGAAGGCCUUCGGGUCGUAAAGCUCUUUCGACAGGGAAGAAAAUGCCUAUAAGUAACUGUGUAUGUAUUGACGGUACCUGUAUAAGCAGCCCCGGCUAACUCCGUGCCAGCAGCCGCGGUAAUACGGAGGGGGCGAGCGUUGUUCGGAGUGACUGGGCGUAAAGAGCACGUAGGCGGUGUUGUAAGUCAUUAGUCAAAGACUAGAGCUCAACUUUAGUAAGGCUAGUGAUACUAUAAUACUAGAGUAUCAGAGAGGAUUGCAGAAUUCCUGGUGUAGCGGUGAAAUGCGUAGAUAUCAGGAGGAAUACCGUUAGCGAAGGCGGCAAUCUGGCUGGAAACUGACGCUGAGGUGCGAAAGCGUGGGUAGCAAACAGGAUUAGAUACCCUGGUAGUCCACGCUGUAAACGAUGGAUGC
This 756-nucleotide ribosomal RNA is filed under the name uncultured bacterium. RNAcentral describes it as "bacterial SSU rRNA". It matches the Rfam family "Bacterial small subunit ribosomal RNA", at positions 74 to 816 of the family's 1533-position model. The record is from RNAcentral.